Molecule: long non-coding RNA, 605 nt
Filed under: Sorghum bicolor (sorghum)
Lineage: Eukaryota; Viridiplantae; Streptophyta; Magnoliopsida; Poales; Poaceae
Description: long non-coding RNA (SBIC_LNC006483)
Source: RNAcentral
UGUGGUACUUAUGGAGUGCUAGCGCAGCAUCCCCAGUCGCUGCCUCCUCCUGGUUGUUGUCGUGGACACCCACGACGCCGGUGCUAUACAUCACCAACCCUCCCCAACCUCCUCCCUCCCUUCGUUGCUAGGACCUGACACAAAAGGGGUGCCACUGACGAUUGGGAUUAGUGAGGAGUGUUGCCAGAUCCAUUGCCGCGACCUCGCCGCUGCCUCAUUCUUAGAGCACAGGAACCCUCAGCUGCCGUUUCCCCAAUGAAUAGAGGCUUCAGAUCGGGCGAAGCAACUGGAGUUUUGCAGGUUGCAGGGAAGGGCGAGCCACGAACGCGAGCCCGGGGCAGGGAAUGGCGAACUGGGUGUCAUGCUGGGCGGCGGUUCCAUGGACGCGAGCGUGGGGCAGGGAAGGCCGAGCUAGGCAUGAUUGGUGGACGUGAUCUCACGACCGUGAUUGCAGGAUGUGGGAGCUCGCGCGUGGGAGGAGGCCCCGUCUGCCGGCGCUGCCGGAUCACAGGUUGGGCAGACGGACGAACCAAAGAUUUUAUCGGGCGCGGCCACCGGCCUCGUUGCGGCCUCCCGCAGCUCGCGGUGGGCGGGGCGCGGCCAAC